GGGCUGGGAUGGUGUCCCAGGGCCAGCUCGCUCUGGGGGAUGCCCUGGGACACCCCUGGCUGUGGGGGCACCUGUGGCCAGCCCUGACCCCACAGCAGGGAAGGGACUCCUCCAACACCUUCCCCUGCCCCCUCCUGCCAGGCUGGGCAUGGCUGCUGCCAGGGAAGGGAGCUCAGUCCUCGGAGCAAGGUGCCAGGCUGGGGGACAAGGGACAAAGGUCCUGGAGGGACAGAGCAGGGUGUUAUGGGGCACAGAAAGGGGUGUUAUGGGGCACAGAGCAGGGUGUUAUGGGGCACAGAGCAGGGUGUUUGUUAUGGGGCACAGAGCAGGGUGUUAUGGGGCACAGAAAGGGUGUUUGUUAUGGGGCACAGAGCAGGGUGUGUGUUAUGGGGCACAGAGCCGGGUGUUUGUUAUGGGGCACAGAGCAGGGUGUUAUGGGGCACAGAAAGGGUGUUUGUUAUGGGGCACAGAGCAGGGUGUUUGUUAUGGGGCACAGAGCAGGAGGGAAGGGGGGAGCAGAGGGCAAUGGUGGAG
Molecule: long non-coding RNA, 534 nt
Organism: Melozone crissalis (California towhee)
Lineage: Eukaryota; Metazoa; Chordata; Aves; Passeriformes; Passerellidae
Exons: 3
Source: RefSeq, a predicted model, not a curated record